UACGUAGGGGGCAAGCGUUGUUCGGAUUCAUUGGGCGUAAAGGGUGCGUAGGCGGCGCGGUAAGUCGGGGUGUGAAAUCUCGGGGCUUAACUCCGAAACUGCAUUCGAUACUGCCGUGCUUGAGGACUGGAGAGGAGACUGGAAUUUACGGUGUAGCGGUGAAAUGCGUAGAUAUCGUAAGGAAGACCAGUGGCGAAGGCGGGUCUCUGGACAGUUCCUGACGCUGAGGCACGAAAGCCAGGGGAGCAAACGGGG
RNAcentral lists this ribosomal RNA (255 nucleotides) under uncultured bacterium. Its description in RNAcentral is "partial 16S ribosomal RNA". It matches the Rfam family "Bacterial small subunit ribosomal RNA", at positions 524 to 777 of the family's 1533-position model. The record is from RNAcentral.